This 460-nucleotide ribosomal RNA is filed under the name Altererythrobacter sp. RNAcentral's name for it is "bacterial SSU rRNA". It matches the Rfam family "Bacterial small subunit ribosomal RNA", at positions 15 to 521 of the family's 1533-position model. Lineage: Bacteria; Pseudomonadati; Pseudomonadota; Alphaproteobacteria; Sphingomonadales; Erythrobacteraceae. The record is from RNAcentral.
UAUCCUGGCUCAGAACGAACGCUGGCGGCAUGCCUAACACAUGCAAGUCGAACGAACCCUUCGGGGUUAGUGGCGCACGGGUGCGUAACGCGUGGGAACCUGCCUUUAGGUUCGGAAUAACAGUUAGAAAUGACUGCUAAUACCGGAUAAUGUCUUCGGACCAAAGAUUUAUCGCCUUUAGAUGGGCCCGCGUUAGAUUAGAUAGUUGGUGGGGUAAUGGCCUACCAAGUCGACGAUCUAUAGCUGGUCUGAGAGGAUGAUCAGCCACACUGGGACUGAGACACGGCCCAGACUCCUACGGGAGGCAGCAGUGGGGAAUAUUGGACAAUGGGCGAAAGCCUGAUCCAGCAAUGCCGCGUGAGUGAUGAAGGCCUUAGGGUUGUAAAGCUCUUUUACCAGGGAUGAUAAUGACAGUACCUGGAGAAUAAGCUCCGGCUAACUCCGUGCCAGCAGCGGGGGU